UGGACAGAUGGGCUUGUCCAACAGCUCCUCUCCCGCGGUGACAGUUUGUGUCAAUGGGUGACUAAUCAACCCAUUACCAGUUUAUGGUCACAGGGGGCUGUUCUGAGACUUUAUCUAGAAAACGUGCAACAGGUUCAGCUGGGAUAUCUGCUCCCUGCACCAGGCUGAGCAGUAAGUAGCUUACAUGUCAGUCCCGAUUUUUAAAAGAAAGCCUUAGAAAACUCCGUGCAACGUGAAGAAUCGGCCACCCGAGGCGGCUGUCAACCCGCGGAGCAACUGCUGGUGCUCGACUACCAUUUCCUUCGAGCGAUGGAGCAAAGCUGCAACUGGAGGAGUUCAGCCAAGAGACUCUGAGUAAAGGAAGCACACAGGCAAAAUUGAUUCAGCCAUUGGUACACGUUACUGAAGAGCAAACACAUUUGUCUUGACCAUGCUGACGGGGAAAGAACAACUUGCAUAACAGAGCAGGUCUCUGCAGCCAAGAACAGCAGCCCGUGAAGUGCAGCUCAGAAGUGCUGACUACAGGAGAGGAGAGACGAAAGAGAUCUUAAUACCGGCAGCAAAGCAGGCACCUGCCAAGUCUGGUACAGUUACAAUACAGGCUUCUCUCUGCUUUUACAA
Molecule: long non-coding RNA, 621 nt
Organism: Chroicocephalus ridibundus (black-headed gull)
Lineage: Eukaryota; Metazoa; Chordata; Aves; Charadriiformes; Laridae
Exons: 3
Source: RefSeq, a predicted model, not a curated record